GACGAACGCUGGCGGCGUGCUUAACACAUGCAAGUCGAACGGAAAGGCCCUGCUUUUGUGGGGUUCUCGAGUGGCGAACGGGUGAGUAACACGUGAGUAUCCUGCCCUUGACUUUGGGAUAACUUCAGGAAACUGGGGCUAAUACCGGAUAGGAGCUCCUGCUGCAUGGUGGGGGUUGGAAAGUUUCGGCGGUUGGGGAUGGACUCGCGGCUUAUCAGCUUGUUGGUGGGGUAGUUGCUUACCAAGCCUUUGACGGGUAGCCGGCCUGAGAGGGUGACCGGCCACAAUGGGACUAAGGUACGGCCCAGUCUCCUACGGGAGGCAGCGGUGGAGAAUAUUACACAAUGGGCGGGAGCCUGAUACGACGGCGCCGCGUGCGGAAUGACGGCCUUCGGGUUGUGAACCGCUUUCGCCUGUGACGAAGCGUGAGUGACGGUAAUGGGUAAAGAAGCACCGGCUAACUACGUG
Molecule: ribosomal RNA, 468 nt
Filed under: uncultured bacterium
Lineage: Bacteria
Description: partial 16S ribosomal RNA
Rfam family: Bacterial small subunit ribosomal RNA
Source: RNAcentral